CCAUCUGGUGCCAGCAGCCGCGGUAAUUCCAGCUCCAAUAGCGUAUAUUAAAGUUGUUGCAGUUAAAAAGCUCGUAGUUGAAUUUCGGGGUUCUACCGUUGGUCGGGCUUUGUCUGUACUGGCGUGUAGAAUUUCUACCUUCUGGGGAACCAUCAUGUUAUUAAUUUAACGUGGUGGGAAACCAGGACCUUUACCUUGAAAAAAUUAGAGUGUUCAAAGCAGGCUUAUGUCUGAAUACAUUAGCAUGGAAUAAUAAAAUAGGACGGUGGUCCUGUUUUGUUGGUUUCUGAAUCACCGUAAUGAUUAAUAGGGAUAGUUGGGGGCAUUAGUAUUCAAUUGUCAGAGGUGAAAUUCUUGGAUUUAUUGAAGACUAACUUCUGCGAAAGCAUUUGCCAAGGAUGUUUUCAUUAAUCAAGAACGAAAGUUAGGGGAUCGAAGACGAUCAGAUANCCGUCGUAGUCUUAACCCAUAAANCUAUGCCGANCUAGGGAUUCNGANCGAUUAU
This 505-nucleotide ribosomal RNA is filed under the name Racocetra persica. RNAcentral describes it as "SSU rRNA". It matches the Rfam family "Eukaryotic small subunit ribosomal RNA", at positions 556 to 1066 of the family's 1831-position model. Lineage: Eukaryota; Fungi; Glomeromycota; Glomeromycetes; Diversisporales; Gigasporaceae. The record is from RNAcentral.